UGUUCACAUUCUUACUAUCUCAUAUUUAGGGAUUUGCUCCUGAGGGGGAUCUACCUCGAAUAGGGCGGGAAUGGGAAUAGGGAAAUUUUCAUCCCCGUUGGUAGAAAUGGGGAUAGCAUUCCCACCUCACGGGGUUCCCGAUUCUUGCCCCGUGGAGAUCCCCGUUAAUUCAAUUACAAAAUUACCUUAUAUAUAAUACUUUUAGGUUUACCUACAUAGCAUGUUUCAGUUUCUCUUGCCGACUCCAACCCCAAAUGAGUCAAUUACUCAGUUUAGGUUUACUCUUUUUCCCCUCCUCUUCUUUUUCUUUACACAGUGGUGGCACUGGACUGGAACAACGGGCUGUUAUUUACAAGAUCACAACCAUAUCAACAAUGGAUUGAAGAAAUAGUUAGACUAAAUCGAAGGAAGGAGGACUGCACGAACAGGUUACAGCCUUACUGGAUUACUAGCUACCACUGUUGGUCGUGGCAAUAGUGCAGCACAUGAAAUCUUAGAAGAUUCAGUUCCUCCCAUUUCUCAAGCUCGUAAAUCUGGAUCCAAUUCAUCAAAGAUAUCAUCUGUGAAUGCCUCCAAACUUAUAGUGGCUGUAUUAACAACAACAAUAUCUGCUUGGUCAUUUCUUCUUACAACCAUUAGUGGAUGGAGAAUUAAUUAAAAAACCUGGAAAGAGUUCAUGUUCCUCCAUCAUGUAUUUCCAGCGGUGUUUGCAGGCCACCAGAGUUUUCAGGUGUUCACUUUUGCUGCAUUUCCUGUAGAAAUUCUUGGGGAGGUAUAUUGCUGAGAAAUAUAUCCAUGUGACUCGUUUGUAGGCCACCAGCAGUUGAUUCUGUCUCUUCACUGCAGCAUUGGACCAACGCCUCAAAGGAUACCAUUAGAGAUAUAUAGAUAUACAAUGCGCGAGCUGUGAGCAAGAUAGAGAUACAGAGAUGAGAAACGAAGAAGUGAGAUUAUAUAGUGGUUCCAAGCUUCCCCUUCUGGGAUUUGGCAUGGUUGCAUUCCCUUAUGAUAGAGAAAGAGUCGAGCUCGCAAUAUGGAUGGCCUUCAAGAUGGGUUACCACCAUUUCGACACUGCAAAGAUAUAUGGUUCGGAACCUACCGUAGGUAGUGCUUUAAUGGAGGCAAUUCAUGAUGAGGCAGUGAGCAGAGAAGAAAUUUUUGUUACUUCUAAGCUAUAGGGAUCUGAUCACCAUGACCCCAUUUUCGGACUCAAGCAAGCUCUGAACUAGCUCUUGCACAGAGAGAAGUGAAGAGGGAGGAAGGUUGUGUGGUCCUUCAAUUUGUUUGUGUUUUUUAGGAAUCUAGGGAUGGAAUAUGUGGGCCUGUACCUGAUACCCUGGCCAGCCAAACUAAAGGUGUGUUUUGAAGUCCUAUCAAAGCGCUUUCAUGGCAGCCAUCAACUUGAGUUUUAGAACUGUUGACAUGCUUUGCAACACCAUAGAGAGAAAAGCUAUUCUCGACCUGAAAAAGGGUCUCAAAGACCCUUCAAAUUGGCUCUCUUCUUGGGAUUCAAACAACAAAGAUGUAUUUGUGAAGUGAACAAACAUGAUGAGGCUUGAUUUGAAAAACUCCGAAAGUGGCAUUGUGAAGAGAACAUUUUUGUACAAACCAAGAGUUUAUCAAUUUGAAAUUAAGAUGCAUUUGUGAUUCAAAUAUUUUGAAGCGAGAAUGGGCUUUUAAAUUUUAUUUGUA
This is a non-coding RNA of Nelumbo nucifera (sacred lotus), 1692 nucleotides long. NCBI's taxonomy places the organism in Eukaryota, Viridiplantae, Streptophyta, Magnoliopsida, Proteales, Nelumbonaceae. The record is from RefSeq and is a predicted model, not a curated record.